UCAGUGCAAUGAUUACAACAUGCAAACAAAGAGAAUAAACCUCUGAUCUAUGCCAGUUGAGCCAGUAUAGUGUAUAACCAAUGCAUUCUCCUCUAAUGACAGCCUUCAAACACAGGCACGUCUUUGUUUUUGCACAUACAGAAGUGCAUAUACUGUACACACAAGCACAUUUUUGCAAAAUGCAUGAAAGAUUUUGCUUCCAGUCUAAAUGUCUACAGACCUUUGCAUUUCAAGUGCUAAAUGAUUUUACCUAAUUCCUUAGCAAUGUAACAGACUGACCCAGAUGGAGAGGUGUCUGCAGUCAGGUAAAUGCUCCGCUAAAUGUCUGACACAUUUAAAGUGAGAGCAGAGCAUGUUCUUAAUCCAGCUGCUGUCACUGUCUUGCCUCUACAACCCAAACCUCUUAAACCAUGGUUGUAUAAUUGACAUAAUCUCCACUUUGACUCUGACAGGCUAUAUUUCAAGCUACCGCAGGAUAUCACACAUCUUCACUGUUUAUUUACAGUGAAGAAUGAGAGAAAAGAAAGUAGAAAAUGAUUAUUGUAGAUACGUUUUUGGCUUAACUCUUCCAUAAAUAACAUGUGUAUUUUAACACUUUCUAAUCAUUCUAGUUCCACCCUGGUAAUGUGUCACUCAUCCUGAAAUUGAUACCUAUGCAUGUGAGUAUGUGGAGAGGGAGAAUAAGAUCAGGCAGCACUUAAGGAUGCCCAUGUCUAUCUUGCUUCUGUCUGCAGAGCUCCAGCAGACCUUAACGCUGUCUCAUAUGUCAGCCACUUACAAAGGCCCCCCUCUCUGACCUGUACCACUCCCACUACUCAGCACUGAACACACAGUAUAUGAUAGGGGACGCCACACACAAAGCACAGCACCCAGGGGCGACACGGGACCGACUUAGACACGAAAACCCUCUCAUGUCUCCGCUACAUUUUUUCCGUAUUGCUUCCUCUGCCUCUCUUCUCCUUCUCUUCUCUGGUGCAUCUCUGACACUGGACAGUUUUCAUCCUUUAUCUGACCCUUCAACAGUCCAUCCAUCCAUCAGAGCAGGACACAAUAGUUUGUCCCUGCGUGGGACAGGCCUCCCUUCAAUGGACUGCCAUGGAGAGGACAGAGCUCAUGCAGGAAUCUGAUCCCCUGAGCAAAUCAACAAGCUCAUUAGAACCACAGGCACAGGUUUGAACACCUUCCGCUGCUUUUAGCGCUUGCGGUGCUCACUCAAGAUACAACUCUACUAUUUGUUUUAUUAUUUGUAACAUAUCGUUUUCUGUGUUGUAUGCACAAGUUCCUUGAAUUGUGAAAACCAUAUCUAGCAACAAACCAGGUGCUGAUGAGACAAUUGAGGACACCAUCUUGGACCUAUAGGAAAAACUGAUCACAUUUUUCAUGAUUUCUUCCAUUUUAUUGGUCAAGCAAUUCAUUGAUGAAUCAAGAAAGUAAUCACAAGAUGAAUAAUCAGUAGUUUCCAGCUCUAAUUUUUUUACCGUCAUUUUAGGGGGAAGCUUGGUCGUUACCCACCAUGGCCAGGAAAGAUAGUCAGCCCUCCGAAGGAUCUGAAAAAGCCAAGAGGCAAAAAGUGCCAUUUUGUGAAAUUUUUCAGAACUGAAGACCAGUAAGUAGGACUGUAAGGAACCUGCUGGAGCUGCACCUUAAUGUUCAUAUCAGUUAUGUAAUAGUGGUAGUAUGGAUACUGCAAACAUUUCAACUGGAUUUGUACACACUGGACACUGAUUACAUGCUAAGAAAAGUCCUGGAGCACCUGUAAUUAUAUAGUUACCAAAUUGCUGUCCAAAACUAAAAAAAAAAAAAAAAAAAAAAAAAAAAAACUGCAUGAAAUGAUAUUUUUAUCACUUGUUUGCAGCAGGGUCUGAUUCUUUCCCCUGAGUCAGUCUCCUGGAGUUAACUACACAUCCAGUCUCCAUUCUUAAACUGUUUCACAGAUAGCCUUUCCAGUAAACCUAAAACUACAAAGACCUUCUCACAUUUUUCCCAUCCCACCCACAUGUGUCUGAGAAACUAACUUUGCUCAUGGGGACCUGAAGCAUACUUCUAUGUGUGUGUCAUUAUGAGGUUAUAUCCCAUUUGGAUAAUCCACAGCUGAAGAAGCAGCUCCUUAAAACUCUACAGUGUAUGACAAACAUAAGUGCAGGUGUGUCAAAAUAUGCAGCAGUCACUUCUAUCGUAAAAAUCUCUGGAAUCCUAUCAAGCCUUUUUUUCUUUCUUUCUUUCUCUCUUUUCUUUUACUUUAUCUUUGCGUCUCUUUCAUGCACAAUUGUCUGCGUGUGCAUGCAUGUGCGCCUGUGCAACAGUUUGCAAGUCACCGCAGCUACCCUCCAGAUUGUAUGAUAAACACUGCAAACAAGGCAGAACUGGAGAAGAAGGUGGAGUAACAACAGUAGACUCACUAUCAUGACUAUAAAAUAACCCACCAGUUAAUGCAAUUCAAGAAGAAAGCCCCCCCCACCCCA
Molecule: long non-coding RNA, 2462 nt
Organism: Sphaeramia orbicularis (orbiculate cardinalfish)
Lineage: Eukaryota; Metazoa; Chordata; Actinopteri; Kurtiformes; Apogonidae
Exons: 2
Source: RefSeq, a predicted model, not a curated record